CUUAUAUUUACAAGAUUUAGUUUGUAUAUUUAUUUACAGUGCAAGGGAGGCAACUUAAAUUUUGAUUUUUUUGACCAGCUGGCCCAAUAAGUAGAUGUUUAAAUUUGUAUAAAGUGAUUUGUAUUCAAAGAAUUUAUUUUUUAUUGAAGAAAUCAGUUUUUCAUUGUUGUAGAAAGUUAGUUAAAUUAACAUAAAAUUUAGUUAUUCUUAGUUUAGAACAGUUAUAAAUAAUUUGUGAAUAAUUAUAUAAAUUUGAUACUACAUGUAAAUGUAAAAAAGAUUAAGUGAACAUUUAUAAACAUUGUGCUUGUGGGUUUUGGUCAUUAACAUUAAUAUAUAAUUACAACUCUUCCUUUUAUUUUAUCAUUAAAGAUGUUACAUGAAACAAAUCCCUUACAAGAUUAUAUCAAAAGUAUAAAAAAUAUGUAAAAAAUAUGUGUACAUAAUCUAUUACUUGACUUCAGGAUUGAGAAGGAGAAGUUACAUAUACAUGUAUAAUCAGUGGAAGGGAGACAACUCAUAUUUUGAUCCCUUGACCAACUAUUCAGACAUAUUUUAUAAUCCAUGUUAUUAUGAAAUGUGAAGAAAGUACAGUUUCCGAUGGCAUUUUUCAGACAGAAAUUUGUGUUGGAAUGAUGGCGAUCUCUUCUAUCAGUAACAGAAUGAGAAGUGACCAGCGAUCAGGUUCGAGUGUUCCAGCAAUCUGUGUUCUAGCGAUCCGAGGUACAACAAUAUACAUGUAUAAUACAUAGGAAGUUGGCAAAGACUGGGCAAUGAGGUCGAGCCAAGGGAGGUAUUCAAGCGAUUCAAGGACAAGCUAACAAAGUUCAACUGUAAAUAUGUAAUUUAGUUAUUUCAUGAAGGAAAGCUGACUGGUACCAAAAUUGCCCAUUUGAAAGCAAAGUACACAGAGUUUUUACAUGAAAUACUUAAAAAUACCCGGGAGAAUGAGACUUGUUUGUUGUCUCAGACAAAAGAAUGCUCUGCUGAACUUGAUCGUCAAUGUAUAGAGUUAGAGAAAGCUGACAAUUUUACCAAUGGUUCAAACACAGAGGUUUUAAAGAUGAGACAACAACUGUUUAAGUAUAACAAUGACUUGAAACAAACGCAAGAAAGGCAGUACCAGCUGGAAUAUCAAAUAGAA
This is a long non-coding RNA of Ruditapes philippinarum (Manila clam), 1144 nucleotides long. RefSeq lists it as uncharacterized. The record is from RefSeq and is a predicted model, not a curated record. Lineage: Eukaryota; Metazoa; Mollusca; Bivalvia; Venerida; Veneridae. The transcript has 5 exons.